AAAUAAAAAAUAAAAGUUAACAAGGUAUAAUAAAGGCUAAUUUGCAUAAAAAAUUCACUUAUUUUGGGCUUUUGUAAAACUGGGCCACCUUUUUCGGUUUUGCAGAUUCGGUCCGUUUUUUCAGCAAACUGACCAAAAUACCCUUAUUACUUUUUCUCUUUUCUCUUUCUCUCUCCGCUUCGUUUAUCUCAUUCUUUUUUUUUUCUCGCUGAAAAAAGUAAGGAAGGGAGAGGCGGAGGCGGAAACGGUCCGUGUAAUAAGAGGAGAAAUAGUGCAACAAGAGAAAAAAUAGUGCAACAAGAGAAAAAACAGUGCAACAAGAGAAGAAACAGUAUAAAUAUUUCUUAAAGGGGUGCAGUUUAAGAUAAAAAAUAGUGUAACAUGAGGAGAAAUAGUGCAACAAGAGGAGAAACAGUGCAACAAGAGAAAAAAAAAGUAUAAAUAUCUCUUAAAGGGGUGCAGUUUAAGAUAAAAAAUAGUGUAACAAGAGGAGAAAUGGUGCAACAAGAGGAGAAACAGUGCAACUUUCGUUUAAAGAGUAUAACUUUCAUCUUAAUGGAUGCAGUUUAUAUCUGAAAGAGUGCAAUAAGAGAAAAAACAGUGUAAAUAUCUCCCAAAGAGUGUAAUUUUCAUCUUAAAGCUGCAGUUUACAUUUUAAGUAAUGCAACUUAUAAUUUUUUUUUGCAGUUAACGAUGGAAUUUCAUCUUUAUCAUUCUUUUUCUAUAAGUUUUUAUCUUUAUUUUUUUUUCUUGCUUCUUUUAUUAUUUUUUUGGUCACAUCU
Molecule: long non-coding RNA, 782 nt
Filed under: Ananas comosus (pineapple)
Lineage: Eukaryota; Viridiplantae; Streptophyta; Magnoliopsida; Poales; Bromeliaceae
Description: long non-coding RNA (ACOM_LNC041516)
Source: RNAcentral